GACGGAGCGCGGCGGGGGCUGCGCGGGAGCGGAGCGGGAACGGAGCGGGAGCGGGGACGGAGCGGAAACGCACCGGGAGCGGGGACGGAGCCGGGAGCGGGAGCGGGAGCCCGGUCUGGCGCGGCGGCCCCGUCGUGGGUGGCGGGAGGCUGCGGAGAAGGGAUUGAAAGCGCAGGAACUCAAACGCCACGGGAAGGCUGUUUUCCAAUACAAUGUUUGCUGCACUCCCCAAAGCACUGGAGAUCUACAGCUAUGACAAGAAACAGGUUUCUCUCUUUUUGUAAUCACAUGGUUACUUUGGUGAUGCCUCAAGUGCAACUCGGCCUUCUCUAGUGGUAACACGUGGCAGUCUAGCACCUACCUCUCCUGAGGCGUCAAAAAUUGCACCAGUGAAGAGGAGCCUUAACUAAACUUACCAGCAGGACUGUGCCGCUUGCACUGUGCCGUGACAUCCAACAGGUACGUUCUGUGCUCAGAGUCUCACUAAUGGGCUCCACACUUGCCAGCAGCAUGAGACUACACGUGAGAAAAUGGAGUAUCACUGGACAUUCCUCAUUUUAAUGGUAGUUCUGGAAAUGCUGAAAACUUUCUGCAUAAAACCAGAUGAGGGAAAGAUCCUUAGUGCUACAAUAAUAGUCUUUAACCCAAGGAUAUAACUUGUUUGGGUUAUUAUUGUUGGGGGUUUUUUUAGGAAAUAAUAUUUUCCAGCUUUUUUUCUGCUCCCUUGCAUUGUCCCUUGGAAGGCUGCUAAUAUUGCAGUGUCCAAGCCCUGAGUUUUGUUUGGCCCCUGCCAUUGAACACGUGUGAUGGUGGCCACAGUACUGCCAGGAGACACAGCAACACCCACAUGCACAUGAAGGAAAAUUACAAUAACAACUUUCCAAAGGAAUCUGCUAAUCAUUUUUGUUUUACCUUUUCAAAUGCUGCUGGUGACUCAGGCUUGACAUGACUCCCAUAAUCUUCACACAUAAUUAAGCAAUUUAUACCUUGUAUCUGUGGGUAGACGCUGCUGUCAACACUCAGGCCGGUUCUGGAAAUGGCUGAAUUGUUUUCUUGGGGAAAAACGAACUAACAAACAACAACCACCUCUUGCUUUCUGCCACCUUUGAUUAAAUAAUCUUAAAUAACAAGACUGUACAGUAGGGAAAUUUACUUGUGUGGGCCAUUGCUUUUGAAGCUGAUGUGACAGCUUGUUGCACGACUCUGUACACGUUCUUCCAUUUCACGGUGAUGAAUGCGAGAGAUGAGUGGAACGAGAAGUUUUUCACUUUUGUUACUCUAAACUGAUAAAAUGAGCUUUGUCGGCUGUGAUGUUACACUGAUAUCAGUGUUUCACACCUCAGUAGUCUGAAAGUGGCCACAGUGUCUGUGGGAUGGGCUGAGGAGCACCAGAGUGGACUCCAUACAAGCCAAACAGUUGCUGGCACCACUCCCACUGCAGCAUUAGUGUCAGAGGGAGCAGGGAGAAGUCCUGCUGCCCCCACAGGUUACCAUUUGCCUGUGUUAGCAGGAUAUUCUGAGGAAUACAUGUGUUGUCUUCAGUUUUCUGAACUUUUCUUGGAUGGAUAGGGUUGUCCCAAAUGUAUCUAUCAUCAAGGAGCCCUGCAAGGGCCCCAGGACAUGUAGACUCUGAGGGGGAAAUAGGAAACUUGUGCUGGGGGUGAAACAGGCUGCAGUGUCAAACCAGAAAUUUCAAAGAGAUCCAGACUCUGUAACACAUGGACAUGAAUUAAAUUGGGAAAAAUAUAGUGUUAGACUAAUGGAAUCCUCAGUUAGAAGUGAAAAAUACUCUUUGUUCUUCUCUUCCCCACAGUGAAAUAGGAUGGUUUCUUUCAUAACUGCACUGUCCAAACCACUUUUUAGACUUGUGGCUUAUUUCCAUUAUUUUAGCAAAGGUGUGUCUCAUUCUGCAUGUAAUAUUUGAAAUAGGGGAGACUUAGUAGCACUUUCCAGGUCAGCCAGUCAAUAACCACACAGACUACUAUCUUGAAAGAACAGCUCAUGCAAAGGGAGGAGAAAUUGAACACAGUUAAGAAAAUGCAGAUGAAACCCAGUUAUUGGGAGGAUUUUUCCAGUUGUUGGAUGCUGCAGAUGGUGGAAGAGUACCUCCAGAAAAUAUUGGUUCACUCUUCAUCCUGGCACAUGCUGAACUCAUCUGCACAAAGCAAAAGGAGACACUAGAAUUAAGUCAAGGAAUCAAACAGUUUUUAGUAGAAAAGCUCAUAGACCAUAUUUAGGUAUUUCUCCCCCAUUUUUUUCCCCUAUGUUUUGUUUUUUUUUUUUUUAAUGAGAAAAGCAGUUAUGUUAAAAACAUCAUGGGGAGUAAUUCUGAACUGGCAGAGAGAUGCGAUAGAUGAUUGAAUAGAUUCUUUCCAUCUCCACAUUUUGUGAUCUAUGAACUCACCUUCGGGAAACUUUUCUCAUUUCAGACUGAGUUUCACUCCCUUAGGGUUGUCUGAAGAAGGUGAGAUAUUUAACCUAAGCAGCAUUAACACUACCGCUGUGAUUUGGCUUUAAAAGUUAGCAAGAUGUCUCAGCCUGAAGAAGCCAUCACAGCGGGACUCUUCUCUUGUUUGCUUUCUUCCUUGAGGUCUCUCCACAAUACUUCCUGCUGGUGCUUCACACUGCAAGCCAGAGGUGCAGUCAGCUGGAUGUGCUUUGAAGCACAUGCAUCCUAAGGUGUGCUGCACCAAGUCCCCUCUGCCUUCCUUUAGCUUCCUGGCUUUGUUCCUCACAGGCUGAAAGCUCACAUGUGGGACACCACUUAAAUGUGGUGACUGGUGCAGUUUUUAAAGAAAAGCUCAUCUUUCUUCCCUGCAGUGGAUGGUCCUCUUGCCAAGGACUGUCCAGGUAUGUGUAAACCCUAAGAAGUUCUGCAGCUCCAUGCUGCUUCCAACACUAGGCUGGUGCUUAGUGAGCAUGGCAGUGUCCUUAGCCAGUAAUCCCAUUUAAUGGGGCUCAUUGUUAUGCAGGGGAACUGGGUGACAAGCAUCCAAGUAAUUGUUUUUAAAUGAGGAAUCUGCAGAGACCAAACAGCAAAUUAGGGGAGAGCCUUCAAAACUGAAAGGUGUGGAGGAUAGGACUGAAGUCACCCAAAGCAGUCCAAAGCAUUUGAUCAAGCACCUGGGAGUGAAGAGUGAGAAUAGUUUGUAGGAGUGACGGUCUGUGCACAUGUGGUGAUGUGGUGAUGAUAUUGUGAGGUUUGCAAAAGGAUCAGGGAGAUCCCCAGCUAUAGAGCAAGUGAUUUUCCUCUGGCUUCAUUCCAAUAAGAAUCACUUCUGUCAUAGUACCCAAGCAUUGCUUCUCCUAGGUUGGUUUCUUCUGGGUGGUUGAUUUUACUCCAAGCAGCUACAUUUAUAGCCAAAAUGUUUAAUUAAAUUUACAGCUCAGAGGAUGUAAGGAGGAAAUAAUGUGGAUAUCAGUUCAGGAAAAAAACCCAGUAACCUGGAAAUAGAGACGUAAGAGCACAUUCACUCAUUUCAGCUAGAACUGUUUACCAUCACAUGGUGCUAAGAGGACAGCAUCAGGCUGAUAUCUAGUGAUCUACAGGUUUUCUUUCUAUUCUCAUUAAACUUUCCAAAUUACAGACAGUGCAAACUUAUGUAAAUAACAAACAGUAUGUAAUACAUAACUAUUUUUGAUGUAAAAAUGACUCCUGGUGCCAAGAAACAAUUAAUAUUUGAAAAAGAAAAACCUCAGAAAAAUCUCAUUGCAUUUAUAUUUCUUUUCAGACUGGAACUUUGUGGCUUGGAGAAUGGAUACACUGACCUUUUGCUGGUGUGCACUUCAGCUCUUGCCACAGGCAUCUGAGUGCAAGGGAGCUCAGCUGUCCUCCCCAAACCCCGACACAUGCAGACUCCUGUGAUCAGGAGCCUAUGCUGGUCUUGCCACAGAUUUCCUGUGCGGUCUUGGAUAGGAAGGUGUCUGUGUGCCUCAGUUUUUCCAUCUGUAAAAUAAGAAUGAUGUUACACUGCUUCACCAGUGCAGCUAAAUUUCUGCUUUAAAAGCACUCUGUGACCUUUGGGUGAAUGGUGGUAAUGAGCUGUUUGCGUUAUUUAUAAGUAUCAUUUGCUGUGAUAUAAAUAUUUUUUUGUAUUGUUCAUACUGUGUUUAUUUUGUGCAAGUGAAUACAGUCCCAAUGAAAGCAGGAGACCGAGUAUUUUGCUUUCCCACGUAACUCAACCAGCGUUCCCAAAUUCUGAUCUCUAACACCUCUGCUAUUGCAGUCCUGGGCCUCUCUUGAGCAGAAACUGCUGAUCAUGCCAAAUUCUCUGGUGUUUUGUAAUGUGGGCUAACAUGGGCUGAGGUUUGGAUGAGACCAAUAGACUCAUUUUCACUUAGGGCCUGCAGCAGCACUGAAGCUGGAGUGAACAGAAGUGAAAGGUCAGUGUGUUCCCUUCCCUGAGCCACACAGCUCCUGUUUGAAAGCAAAUAAAAAUGUAAUAUGACUCCUAAUGUUUAUAAAUAUUUUUGAUAGCUUUAGUGCCUUUCUCCCAACUUUGCACUAAGAGGACAUCUAGAUGUUAUUACUGUUAUACAUUUGCAUUGUUUCUUGGAAGGUUUGCUUGAAAUAAAAACAACUGUAGACCUUUUA
This is a non-coding RNA of Lonchura striata (white-rumped munia), 4594 nucleotides long. The record is from RefSeq and is a predicted model, not a curated record. NCBI's taxonomy places the organism in Eukaryota, Metazoa, Chordata, Aves, Passeriformes, Estrildidae.